RNAcentral lists this small nucleolar RNA (157 nucleotides) under Nestor notabilis (Kea). RNAcentral's name for it is "Small nucleolar RNA ZL1". It matches the Rfam family "Small nucleolar RNA ZL1". Rfam says of the family: Host gene TRRAP. The record is from Rfam by way of RNAcentral. Lineage: Eukaryota; Metazoa; Chordata; Aves; Psittaciformes; Psittacidae.
GAAGAAGCAAAAUGAUGAGUAAUACUUACAUGAGCCAAAGUGAGCGAGCUCUGUGUGUGUGUGUAUGUGCAUGUGCAUUUGUGUGAUGGUUGAUUGUGAGAAUUGUGUGCCUUAUAAUUGGGCCGUGAUAGCUAAACUGAUAAGAUCUGAUUGCUUC